RNAcentral lists this ribosomal RNA (498 nucleotides) under uncultured bacterium. RNAcentral describes it as "bacterial SSU rRNA". It matches the Rfam family "Bacterial small subunit ribosomal RNA", at positions 28 to 520 of the family's 1533-position model. The record is from RNAcentral.
GAUGAACGCUAGCGGCAGGCCUAACACAUGCAAGUCGAGGGGCAGCACGGUGUAGCAAUACACUGGUGGCGACCGGCGCACGGGUGCGUAACGCGUAUGCAACCUACCCAUAACAGGGGGAUAACACUGAGAAAUUGGUACUAAUACCCCAUAACAUCAGGACCGGCAUCGGUUCUGGUUGAAAACUCCGGUGGUUAUGGAUGGGCAUGCGUUGUAUUAGCUGGUUGGUGAGGUAACGGCUCACCAAGGCAACGAUACAUAGGGGGACUGAGAGGUUAACCCCCCACAUUGGUACUGAGACACGGACCAAACUCCUACGGGAGGCAGCAGUGAGGAAUAUUGGUCAAUGGACGCAAGUCUGAACCAGCCAUGCCGCGUGCAGGAAGACGGCUCUAUGAGUUGUAAACUGCUUUUGUACGAGAGUAAACGCUCUUACGUGUAAGAGCCUGAAAGUAUCGUACGAAUAGGAUCGGCUAACUCCGUGCCAGCAGCCGACGG